UACGGGGGGGGCAAGCGUUGUUCGGAAUUACUGGGCGUAAAGGGCUCGUAGGCGGCCAACUAAGUCAGACGUGAAAUCCCUCGGCUUAACCGGGGAACUGCAUCUGAUACUGGAUGGCUUGGAUUCGGGAGAGGAAUGCGGAAUUCCAGGUGUAGCGGUGAAAUGCGUAGAUAUCUGGAGGAACACCGGUGGCGAAGGCGGCAUUCUGGACCGACAUUGACGCUGAGGAGCGAAAGCCAGGGGAGCAAACGGG
Molecule: ribosomal RNA, 253 nt
Filed under: uncultured bacterium
Lineage: Bacteria
Description: partial 16S ribosomal RNA
Rfam family: Bacterial small subunit ribosomal RNA
Source: RNAcentral